This 440-nucleotide ribosomal RNA is filed under the name uncultured bacterium. RNAcentral describes it as "partial 16S ribosomal RNA". It matches the Rfam family "Bacterial small subunit ribosomal RNA", at positions 338 to 795 of the family's 1533-position model. The record is from RNAcentral.
CCUACGGGAGGCAGCAGUGGGGGAUAUUGCACAAUGGGGGGAACCCUGAUGCAGCGACGCCGCGUGGGUGAAGAAGCGCCUCGGCGCGUAAAGCCCUGUCAGCAGGGAAGAAAAUGACGGUACCUGAAGAAGAAGCCCCGGCUAACUACGUGCCAGCAGCCGCGGUAAUACGUCGGGGGCACGCGUUAUCCGGAUGUACUGGGUGUAAGGGGGGCGCAGACGGCGAUGCAAGCCAGGAGUGAAAGCCCGGGGCCCAACCCCGGGACUGCUCUUGGAACUGCGUGGCUGGAGUGCAGGAGGGGCAGGCGGAAUUCGUGGUGUAGCGGUGAAAUGCGUAGAUAUCAGGAGGAACACCGGUGGCGAAGGCAGCCUGCUGGACUGCAACUGACGUUGAGGCCCGAAAGCGUGGGGAGCAAACAGGAUUAGAUACCCCUGUAGUC